This 301-nucleotide ribosomal RNA is filed under the name uncultured bacterium. RNAcentral describes it as "partial 16S ribosomal RNA". It matches the Rfam family "Bacterial small subunit ribosomal RNA", at positions 509 to 807 of the family's 1533-position model. The record is from RNAcentral.
CAGCAGCCACGGGAAUACGAAGGGGGCUAGCGUUGUUCGGAAUUACUGGGCGUAAAGCGCACGUAGGCGGAUAUUUAAGUCAGGGGUGAAAUCCCAGAGCUCAACUCUGGAACUGCCUUUGAUACUGGGUAUCUUGAGUAUGGAAGAGGUGAGUGGAAUUCCGAGUGUAGAGGUGAAAUUCGUAGAUAUUCGGAGGAACACCAGUGGCGAAGGCGGCUCACUGGUCCAUUACUGACGCUGAGGUGCGAAAGCGUGGGGAGCAAACAGGAUUAGAUACCCCCGUAGUCCCUGUCUCUUAUAC